UACGGAGGGUGCGAGCGUUGUCCGGAAUCACUGGGCGUAAAGGGCGCGUAGGCGGCGCGGGCAGUCAACGGUGAAAGCUCGGGGCUCAACUCCGAGUCGGCCGUCGAUACUCCCGUGCUCGAGCACUGUAGAGGCAGGUGGAAUUCCGGGUGUAGCGGUGGAAUGCGUAGAGAUGUGGAGGAACACCAGUGGCGAAGGCGACUCUGUGGCCUGUAACUGACGCUGAGGCGCGAAAGCGUGGGGAGCAAACAGG
This 253-nucleotide ribosomal RNA is filed under the name uncultured bacterium. RNAcentral's name for it is "partial 16S ribosomal RNA". It matches the Rfam family "Bacterial small subunit ribosomal RNA", at positions 524 to 776 of the family's 1533-position model. The record is from RNAcentral.